Molecule: long non-coding RNA, 1740 nt
Organism: Mobula hypostoma (lesser devil ray)
Lineage: Eukaryota; Metazoa; Chordata; Chondrichthyes; Myliobatiformes; Myliobatidae
Exons: 8
Source: RefSeq, a predicted model, not a curated record
CGAUACGGCAGUAUGGGAGGAAUUGAAUGAAGCUGAAAAUGGUACAGAAAAGAUCCACAAACACGCAACUGGAUGGAGAUCUUUCAGAAUUGGGAGGCUGGCUAGUCUGAGACCAUAUUCUCGGAGCGUGGGAGGCCGUGGAAACAGCCUGUGAACAUGAAUUGAAACAAGACCUCUCACCAUUCGAUAGUUGUCUAUGAGGCCAACCUCCAUUCUUCUGAAUUCCAGUGAAUACAGCCACAAAGACAUCAAAUGCUCUUGAUAUGACAACCAUUCAAAAACUGACACAUAGUAGUGAAAUUCCUUUGAAGCCCCUUCAGUUUGAACACAUCCUUUCAAAUAUAAGUGUCCCAGAUCUGCUCACAGUUCUCCAGCAAAAACAAAUGGCAAUUGUACCCUCGGCUCUGACGCAAUCGUCGGCAUUGUGCUUGGUUUACUUGGCAUGGGAUUGAUCGGCGGAGUCAGUGGAUGGUUGAUCGCGAGGAAAACUAGCGGGAUCAAAGAUCUGCCACAAUCCCAAUACGGAACGAUCAUCAAUUCCGGAGGAAAUGCACCUCUGAUAUAACCUCUCUGAUCGCAUCGGGAUCCUACGAAAAUUUCCCAAGGAAUGAACAGGGCGCAAGUAACAACGCACAAGAUGGAAACUCCACUUACACGGGACUGAUUCUGGGCGACCGAUCUGUUUACAGUGAUAUGAAGAGAUGAUGUCGCUGGUGAACAGAAGAGGACGGUUGCCCGGGACUUCACACAUCAGAAGGACAACCAUCGUGGAAGAUGCACCUUUCAAAACGUCUCUUACUUUUUAUAUAUAACUGUUAUCUAUGUUUCUGUCAUAUGUCUCUCGAGUGUGACAUCUUCACUUCGAGACAUCACUGACCGUUGUGACUUUUUUUUAUCGUAGCGGCUUCGUUGUCUCGCCUCAGCACAGACUCCUGCAUCCCAUAAUAGGCACCCUCGUGCUUCCACCAACAUUUCACCUCUCAGCUUUGCUCUGCGAUAUGAUCUCUAUAAUCUCAUUACCCACAUGAUAGGCGGUUCCGUUUCUAAAGACGUGUUUCGCUCAGAUCGGGAACAUAGCGGUGUGAGACUCUCAGCCUUCAGACGAGCCUCAAUUUUCUCUCGUCCGGGAGCCUGGUGCAGCGGCGGAAAGGGUCACGUGACAAUAAUUCCAAUGGUUUCAUCCUUCCCCUCCCGGGCCAUCAUAUUAGCAAUGUAUCAGUAUUCGCUCACUAAAUACUGUCCGAUAUGAUGUGAGUUUCGUCUUGUCGAACGACCAGAUUUUUACCUGACACCCAUCCCUAUUUCCCUCUGACACUUGUUUUGGGAUCAUUCCCGACCGCAAUAGACACCUUGAUACCUGUUUAUACAUCCAGCAGUUGCCAGAAACCACACCUCCGCCUUCCGCCGCACACCGCGGUCACAGAGGCACAAGUACAUUUGGACAGCGUGGGUGGUGGGGGCCGGGAGGGUGUGUCGUUUGUGCACGAACAUGGACAGCAAAAGGGAUUUUCAAGGCACUGGGAAAUACCGAGUUCGCGGUCGGCUUUGGGAAAUAAACAACAACUUAAACGUAAACAAGGAAUCUUGGAAUGAAAAAUAACACAUUGUAGUGACAAAUUCACAAAGGAUUAUCAAAGUCUGACCCAGACCAUGACCACGAAUAGAACAUUAAUACCCGGAUAACGGUUCUCAGGUGUCUGAAAUAUUUACACUCGAUCGGUGAUUGAAUAAACACGCGGA